This 349-nucleotide long non-coding RNA is filed under the name Anser brachyrhynchus (Pink-footed goose). RNAcentral's name for it is "lncRNA (ENSABRG00000004607.1)". Lineage: Eukaryota; Metazoa; Chordata; Aves; Anseriformes; Anatidae. The record is from RNAcentral.
AGUGAACAUAACAUCUGAUAACAGUGACUCAGCUGAAGAACUUUGCACCUCUGUGAAGUAUCACCAACACUGUGACAAAUGCAAUCCUGAUGGCUGUGGCCUAAAGGGCAGAGUUGCCCUUACUCUGGAGGAGGAGGAGGAAGACAUCGACAUCUGGUGGCAGGACAGGAACAAAGGGUGGGCUCCAAGACAUGCAGCUUGCUGCUGAUGGUACAGAGCUUCAGGAGCUGUGGCCUUGCUCCCCAGCAGUGUGGGCAACACCAUCCCCUCUCCUGACAACUAUAACAUGACCGAGGUGUUACUAUAAAAUGACAGAAAGAGCUGCAGGACCCAGCACCAGAAACAAAAG